UACGAAGGGGACUAGCGUUGUUCGGAAUCACUGGGCGUAAAGCGCACGUAGGCGGAUGUGUCAGUCAGGGGUGAAGUCCCGGGGCUCAACCUCGGAACUGCCUUUGAUACAGCACGUCUCGAGUCCGGAAGAGGUGGGUGGAAUUCCUAGUGUAGAGGUGAAAUUCGUAGAUAUUAGGAAGAACACCGGUGGCGAAGGCGGCCCACUGGUCCGGUACUGACGCUGAGGUGCGAAAGCGUGGGGAGCAAACAGG
RNAcentral lists this ribosomal RNA (253 nucleotides) under uncultured bacterium. Its description in RNAcentral is "partial 16S ribosomal RNA". It matches the Rfam family "Bacterial small subunit ribosomal RNA", at positions 524 to 776 of the family's 1533-position model. The record is from RNAcentral.